UUUUAAACGUAAUUUUUAUUUCUUGGUGAUUAAUAGUUUAGUUCUUUAAAAUCAAAGAUUUUGGCGGUAUCGUAGUCUAUUCAGAGGAACCUGUCCUAUAAUUGAUGGUCCACGUUUAAUUAAACUAAUAUUGUAAAUUUGUAUAUCGUUGUAGUUUGAAUAUUUUAUAAGAAAUUUAAUGUUCAUUAUUUUAGAUAAAAAAAUAAAUCAGAUCAAGGUGCAGUUAAUAUAUUGGGAGAGAUGGGUUACAUUAAAUUUAUUUAUGGAUAAUAUUUUGAAAAAAUAUAUAAAAUUGGAUUUGGAAGUAAUUAUAUACAUAUAUUUAAAAUGACUGUAGCUCUAUGAUAUG
Molecule: ribosomal RNA, 349 nt
Filed under: Megauchenia sp. MJM-2013
Lineage: Eukaryota; Metazoa; Arthropoda; Insecta; Coleoptera; Nitidulidae
Description: partial 12S ribosomal RNA
Source: RNAcentral